AACGAACGCUGGCGGCAGGCUUAACACAUGCCAGUCGAACGCCCCGCAAGGGGAGUGGCAGACGGGUGAGUAACGCGUGGGAACAUACCCUUUUCUACGGAAUAGCUCUGGGAAACUGGAAUUAAUACCGUAUACGCCCUACGGGGGAAAGAUUUAUCGGGGAAGGAUUGGCCCGCGUCGGAUUAGCUAGUUGGUGGGGUAAAGGCCUACCAAGGCGACGAUCCAUAGCUGGUCUGAGAGGAUGAUCAGCCACAUUGGGACUGAGACACGGCCCAAACUCCUACGGGAGGCAGCAGUGGGGAAUAUUGGACAAUGGGCGCAAGCCUGAUCCAGCCAUGCCGCGUGAGUGAUGAAGGCCUUAGGGUUGUAAAGCUCUUUCACCGAUGAAGAUAAUGACGGUAGUCGGAGAAGAAGCCCCGGCUAACUUCGUG
RNAcentral lists this ribosomal RNA (431 nucleotides) under uncultured bacterium. RNAcentral describes it as "partial 16S ribosomal RNA". It matches the Rfam family "Bacterial small subunit ribosomal RNA", at positions 29 to 507 of the family's 1533-position model. The record is from RNAcentral.